Flavobacterium branchiophilum FL-15 is the source of this 80-nucleotide small RNA. It matches the Rfam family "Flavo-1 RNA". NCBI's taxonomy places the organism in Bacteria, Pseudomonadati, Bacteroidota, Flavobacteriia, Flavobacteriales, Flavobacteriaceae. The record is from Rfam.
CUGCGUUAGGGAUGGUAGCGGCAUCCUUUUGUUUUUUUUCUUUAAAAAAACAAAAGAUAAAGCCGAAAGCCCGACCCUUG